UUUGGCCUGGAAUAACACGAGGAAACUUGUGCUAAUACUGGAUAAGUCUUUACGGAGAAAGCUUUAUGCACCAUGGAUGAGCCUGCACUUGAUUAGUUUGUUGGUGGGGUAAUGGCCUACCAAGACUGUGAUCAAUAGCUGAUUUGAGAGGAUGAUCAGCCACAUUGGGACUGAGACACGGCCCAGACUCCUACGGGAGGCAGCAGUGGGGAAUCUUGCACAAUGGGGGAAACCCUGAUGCAACGAUGCCGCGUGAGUGAAGAAGGCCCUUGGGUUGUAAAACUCUUUCGUCGGGGAAGAAAAUGACUGUACCCGAAUAA
Molecule: ribosomal RNA, 320 nt
Filed under: uncultured bacterium
Lineage: Bacteria
Description: bacterial SSU rRNA
Rfam family: Bacterial small subunit ribosomal RNA
Source: RNAcentral